Molecule: ribosomal RNA, 422 nt
Filed under: uncultured archaeon
Lineage: Archaea
Description: partial 16S ribosomal RNA
Rfam family: Archaeal small subunit ribosomal RNA
Source: RNAcentral
CUACGGGUCGCUGCAGGCGAGAAAACUUUGCAAUGUGCGAAAGCACGACAAGGUUAAUCCGAGUGGUUUCUGCUAAAGGAACCUUUUGUCGGUCCUAGAAACACCGAUGAAUAAGGGGUGGGCAAGUUCUGGUGUCAGCCGCCGCGGUAAAACCAGCACCUCAAGUUGUCAGGAUGAUUAUUGGGCCUAAAGCAUCCGUAGCCGGCUCUGUUAGUUUUCGGUUAAAUCUGUAUGCUCAACAUACAGGCUGCCGGGAAUACUGCAGAGCUAGGGAGUGGGAGAGGUAGACGGUACUCGGUAGGAAGGGGUAAAAUCCUUUGAUCUAUUGAUGACCACCUGUGGCGAAGGCGGUCUACCAGAACACGUCCGACGGUGAGGGAUGAAAGCUGGGGGAGCAAACCGGAUUAGAUACCCCGGUAGUC